RNAcentral lists this ribosomal RNA (600 nucleotides) under Dujonia oleophila. RNAcentral describes it as "eukaryotic LSU rRNA". It matches the Rfam family "Eukaryotic large subunit ribosomal RNA", at positions 1 to 603 of the family's 3401-position model. Lineage: Eukaryota; Fungi; Ascomycota; Pichiomycetes; Serinales; Debaryomycetaceae. The record is from RNAcentral.
UUGACCUCAAAUCAGGUAGGACUACCCGCUGAACUUAAGCAUAUCAAUAAGCGGAGGAAAAGAAACCAACAGGGAUUGCCUUAGUAACGGCGAGUGAAGCGGCAAAAGCUCAAAUUUGAAAUCUAGCACUUUCAGUGUUCGAGUUGUAAUUUGAAGAAGGUAACUUUGGAAUUGGCUCUUGUCUAUGUUCCUUGGAACAGGACGUCACAGAGGGUGAGAAUCCCGUGCGAUGAGAUGUCCAAUUCUAUGUAAAGUGCUUUCGAAGAGUCGAGUUGUUUGGGAAUGCAGCUCUAAGUGGGUGGUAAAUUCCAUCUAAAGCUAAAUAUUGGCGAGAGACCGAUAGCGAACAAGUACAGUGAUGGAAAGAUGAAAAGAACUUUGAAAAGAGAGUGAAAAAGUACGUGAAAUUGUUGAAAGGGAAGGGCUUGAGAUCAGACUUGGUAUUUUGUGUUCCUUAUCCUUCUUGGAUUAGGUUCCUCACAGCUUACCGGGCCAGCAUCGGUUUGGAUGGCAGGAUAAUGACAUUGGAAUGUAGCUUUGCUUCGGUGAAGUGUUAUAGACUUUGUUGAUACUGCCUAUCUAGACCGAGGACUGCGUCUU